GUCUUUGUAGGUAUCAUCACAGAAUGAGGGCGUCAUUAUGUUUGGUGUUGGGAGGUGCGAUGCUUUUGUCGAUUCUAGUUAACAUAACAAACAGCGAAAGAAUAUGUUUUUCAUUUCGGUAUAACACAGGAUGAAAAAUGUCAACAUGCUAUCAGUUGUGAUAAGGAUGAGAUUUGUUUUGUUCAGAAAUAUUACACACAUGGAAACGAAACUAAAUACGAUGUUGGUUGUACAUUUCAGGAGAUGUGCCAAAUGGAUGUAACAGGACAUAUAAUAGGAAAGAGUAAUGACCACGCCCAUAUUCUAUGCCUGAAAUGUUGCAAUGAUUCUAAUG
Molecule: long non-coding RNA, 334 nt
Organism: Mytilus trossulus (common blue mussel)
Lineage: Eukaryota; Metazoa; Mollusca; Bivalvia; Mytilida; Mytilidae
Exons: 5
Source: RefSeq, a predicted model, not a curated record